GCACUCCUUGCCCAUGGGCAAAUCGAGCAGAGGUCACGAUAAUAGUGGCCCAAUAGUGCUCUUUGCCCAUGGUUAAGUCGAGCAGAAGCCACGAUAAUAGCGGCCCAAUGGCACUCCUUGCCCAUGGAUAAGUCAAGCAGAGGCUAUGGCGACAGUGAUCCAAUGGUACUCCUUGCCCACUGACAAGUCGAGCGAAGCCAACGAACUCUAAGUCAUGUGGACUGAAGACCUCGGUUACUAAGAAGUAGGGGCUAACCUACAAGGACUCUCGAAGGUCCCUCUCUUUUCAGCGAAC
RNAcentral lists this long non-coding RNA (295 nucleotides) under Elaeis guineensis (African oil palm). RNAcentral describes it as "long non-coding RNA (EGUI_LNC037949)". Lineage: Eukaryota; Viridiplantae; Streptophyta; Magnoliopsida; Arecales; Arecaceae. The record is from RNAcentral.